AUGCAUCUCUUCCUCAUCUAUUUCGGGUUUUUCUUGUCCCUACACUUCCCUGGAUGUUCUGCUGCCAUGGACGCCAUUACAUCUAGGCAAGCACUUGUCGGCAACGACAGGAUCAUCUCUAAUAACGGCAAGUUUGCUCUCGGCUUCUUCCAGACAGGCAGUAAGUCCUCCCACAACACCCUGAACUGGUACCUAGGCAUAUGGUACAACAACGUCCCCAAGCUAACUCCGGUAUGGGUAGCAAACGAUCAUAACCCAGUUACAGACACCACCACGUCGGAGCUGAUAAUAUCCAGUGAUGGCAACCUCGUCAUCUUAAACCAAGUCACUAUGUCCAUCAUCUGGUCUACCCACACGAAUACCACAAGCAACAAUACCAUUGCUACGCUAUUGAACAGCGGAAACCUCAUCCUACAGAACUCCUCGAACUCAUCAAAUGUGUUGUGGCAGAGCUUUGAUUACCCCACAAAUACCUUCCUUCCUGGUAUAAAACUAGGUUGGAACAAGGUCACGGGUCUGAAUCGCCGUCUGGUUUCUAGGAAGAACUUGAUUGACCUAGCCCCUGGCAGAUAUGGUGAAGAAUUAGACCCAAGUGGUGCCAAUCAGUACAUCUUUACACAGCUGAACUCGUCCAUACCAUAUUGGUCGAGUGGGGUAUGGAACGGCCAAUACUUUCCGUCAAUACCAGAGAUGGCAGGCCCUUUUGUUGUAAAUUUUACAUUUGUCGACAAUGACCAAGAGAAGUACUUCACGUAUAACUUACUAGACGAGACAAUCAUUUUCCAUCAUCUGUUGGAUGUCUCAGGUCAAACAAAAUCUUUCCUUUGGCUUGAGAGCUCACAAGACUGGGUGAUGACCUAUGCCCAACCCAGAGUUCAAUGUGAUGUAUUUGCUGUUUGUGGACCAUUCACAAUUUGUAAUGAUAAUACAAUUCCAUUCUGCAACUGUAUGAAAGGAUUCUCCAUAAGAUCACCUAGUGACUGGGAGCUAGAUGAUCGAACAGGCGGCUGUGUGAGAAAUACUCCAUUAGAUUGCGGUAUCAACAAAAGCAUAAGUGAGGAAGACAGGUUCUACCCUAUCACAUGUGUUGGAUUGCCCAAUAACGGACACAGCACAGAAGAUGCUACAAGUGAAGAUAAAUGUACCGAAGUUUGCAUGGGCAGCUGCACUUGCACUGCAUAUUCCUAUGGUGUCAAUGGAUGUUUUAUUUGGAAUGGUGAAAUUAUUAAUGUGAAGCAGCAACAAUGUGAUGAUACUACAAAUACUAACAAAGCCACUCUUUACAUGCGCCUAGCCAACAGAGAGGUACAAAGGUUGGAAAGCAACAGAAGACGGAUAAUCAUCGGCACAGCAAUUGGUGCAAGUGUUGCUUUCUGCGGUUUAUUGUCACUCUUCUUGCUACUGAUGAUUAAGAGGAACAAGAGGUUGUCUGCUCAUAGAAUGGAAAACCUUCAAGGUGGUGGGGGCAUUAUUGCGUUUAGAUAUGUUGAUUUGCAACGUGCAACAAAAAACUUCUCCGAGAAGCUAGGGGCAGGUGGUUUUGGUUCUGUAUUCAAGGGGUUUCUAGAUGACUCCACUGCCAUAGCAGUUAAAAGGCUUGAUGGUGCUUGCCAAGGAGAGAAGCAAUUCAGAGCUGAAGUGAGAUCAAUUGGCUUCAUUCAGCAUAUCAAUCUAGUUAAUCUAAUUGGCUUUUGUACUGAGGGUGACGGUAGGUUGCUUGUCUACGAACACAUGCAAAAUCGUUCUCUUGAUGCUCAUUUAUUUCACAAUAAUGGUACAAUUUUGAAAUGGAGCAUUAGGCAUCAAAUAGCUCUUGGAGUUGCUAGAGGACUGGUCUACUUGCAUGAUAGUUGCCAGGAUUGCAUCAUACAUUGCGACAUUAAGCCAGAGAACAUACUUCUAGAUGCGUCAUUUGUUCCGAAAAUAGCAGAUUUCGGGAUGGCAAAGUUUCUCGGAAGGGAUUUUAGUCGAGUUCUCACUACAAUGAGAGGAACAAUUGGAUAUCUAGCACCUGAAUGGAUUAGCGGAACUGUUAUUACAGCAAAAGUUGAUGUCUACAGCUAUGGCAUGGUUUUGUUGGAAAUUGUAUCAGGGAAGAGGAACUCAGGUAGACAGUAUACAACCGGUGAUGAUUAUGUCUAUUUCCCUGUGCAAGUUGCAAACAAACUACUGGAGGGGGGUGUGGGGAGUCUGGUGGACAUCAAUCUACAUGGCGAUGCCCAUUUGGAACAGGUGGAAAGAGCUUUGAAGAUUGCAUGCUGGUGUAUUCAAGAUGACGAGUUUGAUCGACCCACAAUGGGUGACGUUGUUCAAAGUCUUGAAGGCCUUCUUGAAGUCAACAUACCCCCAAUGCCAAGACUACUUCAAGCUAUUGCAGGGAAUCAACAUUCAACAUUUGAUGGGCACCUGGACCAAGCUUCACAAGAGGCAGGCAAACUGCAACAUACCUCGGAGCUUCAUGAAGACAGGUUGCUGCAAUGA
This 2481-nucleotide ribosomal RNA is filed under the name Triticum aestivum (bread wheat). RNAcentral describes it as "partial small subunit ribosomal RNA". The record is from RNAcentral. Lineage: Eukaryota; Viridiplantae; Streptophyta; Magnoliopsida; Poales; Poaceae.